This is a long non-coding RNA of Chinchilla lanigera (long-tailed chinchilla), 4024 nucleotides long. RefSeq lists it as uncharacterized. The record is from RefSeq and is a predicted model, not a curated record. The transcript has 3 exons. Lineage: Eukaryota; Metazoa; Chordata; Mammalia; Rodentia; Chinchillidae.
CUCUAGUUUAGGGAGGAGCAAGAGGAAGAGGUGUUAAAUAGUAGGGGAAAAGAAGCUGGGGUCCCAUCUUAGGGGAGGUUUGUAGAUUUCAAACUGGAAGCGCGUAGUGUGAGCGUCCAGCCGCCCUGGGUUGAACUCUGGCCCCACCGCUCUCCCUCUGUGCGACCUUGGGCACGGAACUUAAACCCUGAACUGAAUGUCUGGGGUCGAAUAAGGUUAAAAAUCCACGGUGGUUGUGAGGAUUAAAAGCGAUCACGGAAAACGUCCCUGUGAUGCAGAGUAGUUCGCCAAUACUUUAGCUAUCCUUGCGGAGCCCAUGCUUUGGUAUUUUGCAAGUGGGGUUGCGGGACUCUGGUUAAAAUAUUAAAUGAUUCUUCCGAGGUCAGGUAGUAUCAGAGACCAGGCUUGAGGUUCAGCGCUCUUUGUCCCAAGCAGCCUGCCUAUAAGGCAGGGAAAAGAAAGCAUUGCAGGGAAACUACUUUCAGGGCUUCCUUUGUAAUCCUCACCGCCUACCCUCAUCUCGGGACCUAAGAACUGAUAAACCAGGCUAUGACAUCUGGGCGUCAGUUACUUAGCUUCCAAAUUCGCACCUGCCCAAGCAAGAGAAGGAAAGCUGUCCUCGGUGUCAUUCAGACGCCUACAAUUUCCUCUGAAGUUGUAAUGGAAGGGUAAACACGGUAGCAAAAAACUCCAGGUCUUCCAUAAUGUCUAGGUAGCUGAGGAAAAGUUCAAUUAGCUUCCAUUUACCUAAUGUCUACUGAGUAGGCCGAAAAGCCUUGCCAGGCAGACAUAGUGGCCAGUGCUUGUAAUCCCUGCUCUCUGGGAGGCUGAGGUCUGAUUCAUGUGACCCUGCCAAGUACCAAUUUGAAUGCAGUCUCUUCCAACAUAGGUUGCUGGAGGCACUCUAUAGGAAUGAGUUCCUUUUGCAGAGCGUUUGGUAUACAUCAUUCCUCACAGACUUUAUGAUCUGCUAUAGAGUCUCACUAUGGAGUUCAGCCUGGCCUUGAACUGAAAGCAAUCCUCCUGUCUCAGCCUUCCAGGGGCUGGAAUCACAGAUGCAUGCCACGAUGCCCGACCAAAACAAAGUUUCUUACUCCUCCUUGUGCCAGUAGCAUUCCCAGUUUCCAGCUGUACAACCUCAGAGUCAGUCUGUUUUUCCUGUCUCUAUUCUGACAGUCUCCCAGUCCCACACUGUCUACCUCAUCCAUGGCAGAGGUAACCACACACUGGUCUCUAGCCCCUUGGUCACUGUUCCAGGGGGAACCCCCGUCUCUCCACUAAGCCCUUCCCAAGCCUCCUGACUGGACAGGGAAAAAAGCCUGUCCAGCCAAGUCCCUCAAUACCCGGCACUCCAGAGGAGUCUUUUGAAAGGCAGAGAAGGGAGCAUGUUGCUAUCCAGCUUCCAAGUCCUCCUGAUCCUCCUUGACUCUUCUGGAAAAGGCCAGACUUCUUCUUCAGUGGCUUCUUAUGAUCUGUCCCUGGCCCAUUUCUUCAGCUGUGGCUCCCACUAUUUUGGCAAGGGCUGUUUUACUCCCUAGAUGGUGAAAGUGUGCCCCAGUCAGCCUCUGUAUCAACCAUAGCUUAUUAGAGAAACAGAUUUAAUGCAAAAUAUACACAUAUAUAGGAAUAUACUAGAGUAGCUUACAAUGGCCACCCACAGAGUCAGAUGUGUAUACCUGCAAAAGGGCUAUCUAUGUGCUGGAGAUCGGAAGGAUCCAGUCAAAGGCCUAGGGCUACUGUUAUGUCCUGGACAAGUUUGUAUCAAGAUGCUCAGGGGUCUGUGCUGGAGGCUGAAGCGGUUGCACUGGAAGCCAGGAGAUGAUGCCCAAGGUGAAGGUCAAGACUGGAGCGCCUCCAAAGAAACAAGUGAGCCUUCCUUCUUUGUUUCUCUUUUAUUCCAUUCAGGUGGCAAGCCUAUUUUCUGCUGUUACUCACACCCAGGCUGAGUCUUCAGUAUUCAGUAAAUCCCUUCAGCAAUACCCAGAACUAUGCUGAUCCAGUUUAGUUGGGUGUUUCUUACUCAAAUUGACUAUCAUAGUCUCUGAAUUGUGACUCUCUCACGUCAGCCUCCCAAGUAGAUGAGAUUACAGUUGUGCGCCACCAAGCCUGGCCCUUCUCUUACGUAUCCUGUUCUUUGCUAGUACAGGUCCACCCACCUCAAAUUCUCUGCCAUGGCCUCUCUACCAUCUACCAGAACAAUCUUACCUCUACAUUCUAGGUCUAUGACAGCAGGCCACAUUACAUAUCUCCUCUUAUUCUGUGUUGUAUUUACAUGUCUUUUUCUGCUCCUUGGAAUAUGAGCUUCUGGAGACAAAGGGUUUGGGCUUAUAUCAUUCAUGUAUGUAACUCUGGCACUGCCACAGUAUCUGGUACACAAAAAAGACUCCAUAAGUGCUUAUUGAGUGAGUUAGUGUAAGCCCCACAAAGGGAAAAAGCUAUUGCAUUUCUUUGAUUCUUCAUGAAGCUAUGCCUAGUGUUGUACAAGAAUAAUUAGAUACUCAAAAUAACAAAUGAAUGAAGGGUAGUGUUGCGAUGUUACAAACCUGCCAUAUAUUAGAGACUAAAUUUAAUCCUUUCUGUUGAGGAACUCAGUUAAUCCCCAGCAACUUUAUAGAGUAGGCAUUUCUAUCCAUAUUCUGCAGAUAAGGAAAUCAAAGCUCAAGGAGAAGUGACAGGGCCAUAGUCACACUGACGGUGAUAAUGAAGCCAGGAUUUGCUUACCCGUUCACCUAAUUUGGAAAUAGCCUAUUUUGUAAGAGAUUCUUGGGUUACUGAGGGGAUGGUGGCAGUGGUGAUGCUCAUGACCACUGUUACACUGUUAUGUUUUCUCUUCUCCUUGUCUGCUUCAUCAUAACCAAAGGCUGCUGCACUUGAUCAGAGCAAUCUUUGUGCCAACAUGAAGAAAUGUGAUUGCAUAACAUGCAGUGAAUAUGUACAAGUCAGGCUACAUGGAGAUCAUGAUUCUCUGUCUCACACUCGCUUUUGCUCUCUCUGCAGCAAACUCAUAUAUCCAUAAUUGAAAUCAGAAUUACUAUGCUCACAGUUAAAUGUUGAGCAUGUAUGGAUAAGAUAUUUAAAACUGGCCUUUGGGAUCUGAAGAACCCAGGGGAGGGGAAGGGAAUGGAAGAAAAAGUUGGAUGUGUUAUGUACAUGGACCAACUCCCCACAAGGAAUGCAGUCAUUAUGUGCUGCGAACAUGUGCUAAUAAAAAUAAAAACCCAAACAAGAUAAAGUCGGGUCUACAGCCAUUGCUCGUGUGUUCAUUUGAGUACUUCUGUAAGAGAAGAGAAAGAACAUUCAGUUCCUGUUCUGAGGAAUUCUGCUCCCGGAUUCCUGAAGGACCCUGAGUUUUGCUUGGGCCUCGGACAGUUAUGAGCACACCCUUGAUUGGAGAGCAUGCUUCCCUAUGGAGAAGGUCAACAUCUUCCCCAGAACAGCUACCUGAAGGGGAAGGUGGCAAAUGAGGAAGAAGUGGACACACAGGAAAGUGAGAACCCAAAUCUACACAGUUAGCAGGACUGGCUCAGUCAGUCCUGGUUAUGAACAACAUGAAUUAGCUCUUUUGCCCUCGUAGGCUCUUAAGACUGGUGCAUUAAAAGAAGGCUUGAUGCAUGCACUGUAUGCAGCACAACCUGGGGGGUGCUAUUUGCAGGAAAUUUAUGUGAAUGGCAUCCUUGAGCUGUAUGGCGCUCAUCCUCCAUGCAUUUCUCUGUCUGAUUUGGCAAUUUAAAUGAUCCCAGUUGUACCUUUACUGAUGCAGAUGUUUAUGAAAUACCUACCAGUUGUCACCUCAGAAAUGGUAAAUGAACUUUACUGUAUCAAAUUAUAUUUAAAGAUGUGUGCCUAUAUGAAAGUGCUUAACAAACUGCUCACUACCAUAUAUUGUAAAGAAGAUCGGUUAAGCAUCUGCUAAGUUUUAGCCAUGACUCAAAAACCUGGAUUCAACAAAUGCACUGAGCACCAACUACAAAUCUUAGAAAAGCUAUUAACUAAUUCUUUUAAAAAGAAAAAGCUGGGCUGGGGA